GAUGAACGCUGGCGGCGUGCCUAAUACAUGCAAGUCGAGCGAACAGACGAGGAGCUUGCUCCUCUGACGUUAGCGGCGGACGGGUGAGUAACACGUGGAUAACCUACCUAUAAGACUGGGAUAACUUCGGGAAACCGGAGCUAAUACCGGAUAAUAUAUUGAACCGCAUGGUUCAAUAGUGAAAGACGGUUUUGCUGUCACUUAUAGAUGGAUCCGCGCCGCAUUAGCUAGUUGGUAAGGUAACGGCUUACCAAGGCAACGAUGCGUAGCCGACCUGAGAGGGUGAUCGGCCACACUGGAACUGUGACACGGUACAGACUCCUACGGGAGGCAGCAGUAGGGAAUCUUCCGCAAUGGGCGAAAGCCUGACGGAGCAACGCCGCGUGAGUGAUGAAGGUCUUCGGAUCGUAAAACUCUGUUAUUAGGGAAGAACAAAUGUGUAAGUAACUAUGCACGUCUUGACGGUACCUAAUCAGAAAGCCACGGCUAACUACGUG
This 497-nucleotide ribosomal RNA is filed under the name uncultured bacterium. RNAcentral's name for it is "partial 16S ribosomal RNA". It matches the Rfam family "Bacterial small subunit ribosomal RNA", at positions 28 to 507 of the family's 1533-position model. The record is from RNAcentral.